Molecule: ribosomal RNA, 371 nt
Filed under: Dietzia sp. EBKC103
Lineage: Bacteria; Bacillati; Actinomycetota; Actinomycetes; Mycobacteriales; Dietziaceae
Description: bacterial SSU rRNA
Rfam family: Bacterial small subunit ribosomal RNA
Source: RNAcentral
CUGAUGCAGCGACGCCGCGUGGGGGAUGACGGUCUUCGGAUUGUAAACCCCUUUCAGUAGGGACGAAGCGCAAGUGACGGUACCUGCAGAAGAAGCACCGGCUAACUACGUGCCAGCAGCCGCGGUAAUACGUAGGGUGCGAGCGUUGUCCGGAAUUACUGGGCGUAAAGAGCUCGUAGGCGGUUUGUCACGUCGUCUGUGAAAUCCCUCGGCUUAACCGGGGGCGUGCAGGCGAUACGGGCAGACUUGAGUACUACAGGGGAGACUGGAAUUCCUGGUGUAGCGGUGAAAUGCGCAGAUAUCAGGAGGAACACCGGUGGCGAAGGCGGGUCUCUGGGUAGUAACUGACGCUGAGGAGCGAAAGCAUGGGU